UUCAGUUCGGCUUGCUGCCGCGGCGGGCUCCCUAAGCGCACUGCCUUCCGCAGCCGCGUGUCAUGCAUUUUGUGCCGCCCUUAGCGGACCGCCGCAGCGGCUUUUCUACAGGUGCGCCGCCUCCCGCGGCCGCUGUCGAUAUAUUCCUAAAUCCCAACGCCUUCCAUUUGGCGUGCCGCCGCGGCGGGCUUCCUAAGCGCACUGCCUUCCGCAGCCGCUUGUCAUGCAUUUUUGUGCCGCACUUGUUGUUGUUGUUACAUGGUCGUGGGUGCGUUCCCCGUACCUGCAAACCACCCUAGUACGAGCCGAGGGCUCAAGGGCUGCCAAAUCGCCUAUAAGCACCAUCCUACCUCGCACUUCCAACGAGACAAGUGAUGAAGUAUACUUACGGCCAAAGGGAACAAUAGAGUUGCGGUGAGACCCUAUAUAUUCCAGCAUCCUUGCCAGGCGUUCAGGCUCCCACUUCGUAGCAUCCUUCAUGCCGCACUUAGCGGACCGCCACAGCGGCUUUUCUACAAGCGCACCGCCUUCCGUGGCUGCUGUCUAUAUACUCCUAAAUCAACGCCUUCAAUUCGGCGUGCCGCCACGGCGGGCUUCCUAAGCGCACUGCCUUCCGCAGCCGCGUGUCAUGCAUUUGUGCCGCACUUAGCGGACCGCCGCAGCGGCUUUUCUACAAGCGCACCGCCUUCCGCGGCCGCUGUCUAUGUGCUCCUAAAUCAACGCCUUCAAUUCGGCGUGCCGCCGCGGCGGGCUUCCUAAGCGCACUGCCUUCCGCAGCCGCGUGUCAUGCAUUUGUGCCGCACUUAGCGGACCGCCACAGCGGCUUUUCUACAAGCGCACCGCCUUCCGCGGCCGCUGUCUAUAUGCUCCUAAAUCAACGCCUUCAAUUCGGCGUGCCGCCGCGGCGGGCUUCCUAAGCGCACUGCCUUCCGCAGCCGCUUGUCAUGCAUUUGUGCCGCACUUAGCGGACCGCCGCGGCGGCUUUCUGAUGUAGCUGUAGCCCGUCCACAGGUCCGAAGACUCCGGGUCCGUCCGCGCGUCUUGACUUCAACUUUCGUUUGCUUGCAGAUUUCUUGACGCCAUCCUGUAUGCCUGUUUUGCUCGUUGUUCCUUACGCCUUCGCACGUAGGGUAGCUGUUAUGUUGGUAAGUAUCCUGCACCGGGCUAUCUGGCGACUCGCGAGGAUACCAGGGUAAAACAGGCGAACUCAAGACAAAGGGCGCCGACCAAGCCCCCCGCAACAACUUGUCAACCAAGAGCUACUCCCGGCAAAACGGGCUCCCAGCUAAAGCCUCGCCAACUGCGGGAGGCCGAGAUAAAACCACCUUUUCUACUGACCUACGGACCUCGCGAACCCAACUAGAAUUCACCCCGCCCACCGACAAGCAACAGAGCCCGCUGUUCAGGUGCCUCUACUCAAGGCCGAACCAACCCAACCACCCGCGCGGUGCCCGCGCGCUUCACUUACUUGCAUGGAUGCCGUCGGCCCGCAAUGUCGAUCUUCGCGUCGCCGUUGUUGUUGUCUUCUCAUAUAUAAGAGACGGCGUCCUAUUGUAGGCAAAACCAAAGAUAAAAGCAAUCUAACAUCACUUGUCAAGCGAUUUGGACCUCGACUUUCUCUAGUCUUUCUAGUCGUCUAUUUUCUGUAACCUGUCUUAAUAAAGCUUAGUUGGUAUCUGUUGUCUGGCUCUGCAUUCUGUGCUGGAAUGGCCAAACUCGGACUGUCUCGUCCUGGUGUGAUAUCCGGGGUUGGCAUCGGGCCCUCCGUACUUCUGUAUUUGGCAAUGGUGUAGUAGCUUCACAUAGUACGGCACACAUACCGUCUAUAAAUACGCGCUAAGGCGCUCUGUCAGCAUUUGUAGAGGCAUUUUCAGCGGCCAGUUGCAACAGUUGGAGUGGUGCAUGGGAUGGCCUUUCAUUGACAUCCGGUGAUUAGAUCGGCACUGCCUGCCUAGAAGGGCCUUGUGCCUGCAAUUCCGUACAUGCGGCCAAGUUGUGCUCCUAAGUUUAAUGCCUUGGCGGCUGCACCCCUGGGAAACCUGCUACAAAAGAAGGUUGGGUGUUGGCCACGCACCCCAAACACGCAACUUUGGGGUGGGUGGCCAACCACACCGCCUUCCACCACUUACCCUCACCCUCACCUAUUGUGUCAAGCGCCUGCCCCCCUGCCGAUACUCACAAUCCCAUCCAUGCGCAUAAUCCCAUCCGUGCUUAGUGUCUUUGCUUGCCUCCCUGACACCUCACAGCAGAGCACCUGCUGUCAGAGCUUGGGCAGCUCCUUCCCCGCGUGCCCUGGUUUCAGUCCAUACUCGACGCCCUUAACCGCCAGCCUUGGGCAGCCUCCUGCAUGCUGCCAACAUAACCCUUGAGCAUUACCUGCGCAUCUGCAAGCUCCGCCGCCCUUCCCAGCAAGUGCUUUCUCGCAUUCCAUAAGUAUGUCUGUAUCCGCCGUUUUGUCCUCCCCCGGCGCCGCAUGCCACGUCAUCCUUCCCGGCAUAUCGUGCUCCCCUUCCACACAUCGUCCUACCCAGCACUUAGAACUUACAUGAAAUUAGCCACGAGGAAUACAGGUGUGCAUGCACGCAUGUAUGAGGCCCUACAGGCAGGCUACUACGUUGUACUAGGAUAUUGCACUGCAUCUCCAUGACCUGUGGCCCACAGGCUGUGGGCCCCUCCGGCCUGACUGAGCUGACUGGGUGGGUUGUAAGCCCUGCUGGAGUGAUACGGCAGCAUCGCCACUGUACGGUAGACCUGCUUGGCUGUAGGCCUCGCUUAAUUACUGUCUCAGCCCGCCAGCCCUCAGCCCCUCCCAGGCCCAGGCCCUUCCCACUGUAUUACAUU
This 2841-nucleotide long non-coding RNA is filed under the name Volvox carteri. RNAcentral describes it as "long non-coding RNA (VCAR_LNC003696)". Lineage: Eukaryota; Viridiplantae; Chlorophyta; Chlorophyceae; Chlamydomonadales; Volvocaceae. The record is from RNAcentral.